Molecule: long non-coding RNA, 571 nt
Organism: Dermacentor albipictus
Lineage: Eukaryota; Metazoa; Arthropoda; Arachnida; Ixodida; Ixodidae
Source: RefSeq, a predicted model, not a curated record
AUAGACGAUGACAGUAUAGGAAUAAAUUACCAAUAGUUUCAUAUUCAUUACAAAAAUGCUGCCAAGUGGUGGUCUUGUUUUUCUUCAUCCUUCUGUCGACCCCAGUGCAGAGUAACACAUUGUGGCUCAAGGCCGUCUUUUCACACCUCUCGUAAGUUUUUCUCUAUAUGUGUGCUAGCUAGACUGCGACCUCGUGCGUGCGCACGAGGGGAAUGCGAGCUGCAAGGUAAAAAAAAAAAAUUCAUUGAUAAUAGCGCAGCGUUUGCAUCGAGAAGAAAGAAAAAGCGUGCUUGCUGCUUGCGAGUAUGAGGGUUUUCGCACCCCGGCCGCGUCCAGCUGACAUGGACUACAGGCUUCGAAGCUCGGCAUGUACGGCCGCUUGCUGUAUAAUUGCAGCUAUCGUGUUCUUCACGGUUGUUGCUGGAGCUCUCAGCCUCAGUGCAGCAGGAAAUUUCAGCGUGGAAGCACGUGGUGUCAAGCCCACAGUAAUGAGCGUUUUCGAAGCAGACCGGAUUUUAGGUUUCAACGAUAGCGCGCCUUUUCGAAAAUAAACUCGCUGAAGUGCACUGGA